Long non-coding RNA from Notothenia coriiceps (black rockcod), 382 nucleotides. RefSeq lists it as uncharacterized. NCBI's taxonomy places the organism in Eukaryota, Metazoa, Chordata, Actinopteri, Perciformes, Nototheniidae. The transcript is spliced from 3 exons. The record is from RefSeq and is a predicted model, not a curated record.
UCCUUCGGGCCUCUCUCCGAUAAGAAUGCGGCAGGAAGACCUGUUAUGACCUGACAGUUUUGUUUUUCGAGGUGAUCUUCGGUUAUGUCACGGCCUUCGCUCCGAGCUACGAGGUGUUCGCCGUGUCGCGCCUCCUCGUCGGUUUGAUGAACGGCGGCAUCGGCCUCGUCUGCUUCGUGCUCACUCAGGAAUACGUGGGGAAAUCCUACUGGGCCAUGACCGGGACGUUGACCAGCAUAAGUUUUGCAGUCGGCAUCGCCCUGUUCGGAGCGCUGGGUUACUUCAUCCGGCCGUGGAGGACCCUGGCCAUCGUGGCCAACUCCUCCGGGGUCCUCUUCUUCCUGCUGUCCGUGUGAGUAAGACUUCAGAGAGUGUUGGGGAA